UAUAUAAUUAUCAGCAGCAGUCACUCUAACACGGUUUGUGAAACGCCUGGCAACUUGGAAGUCAAUACUUCUCUGAGUAUAUCAAAGAGUUUAGUUUCCGACGACAGAAAUUUUAAAAUGGGACCAGAAUUUGCGAACGGGUUAUUCUGUAUUUUCGUGUUUUUCAGACUGUGCAGUUGCGCAUCCAUAGAUUUAAACCAAGUUGAGACACUCAGAAUGACUGGCUCAUCCAGCACUGGAAGUGACAGAUGGACUACACUUGGAGUUGAAUACAGUUCGGGAGGUUAUGAGACUGUCAAUGCUUCAGAUCCAACAACUCAUAAUGUAGAAAUGAGUACUAGGACAAAGGACCAAAUGAGUACUAGGACAAAGGACCAAAGCAAUCCCUGUCUGAAUAGUGAUUUCUGCAUCCAUGGGAGCUGUGAGUACCACAGUGAUCAGCAAACUACAUACUGUGUAUGUCAUCCUGGUUUCUCUGGACAGAGAUGUCACAUGUUUAUUUUGGGAAGCACUAGCAAAGAGGGUUAUGACCUGACGACAAUCCUACCUGUUGUAGCAGUGGUCAUUGUCAUCUUAUGUCUGACCGUCUUCAGUCUCUUUCUGGUUAUCAGACAUCAGAAGAAACACAAGCAAGAUGCAGAAUGUGAAGAAAAAAUUCAUCUUGAUGUGACCAUAGUCCAUGAACUGUGAAAAAAUAUGUGAAAGGAGAAAGUCUACCUCAGAGUAACGGAUGGUCUGACAAGGUGUGGCCUGGGACUCUGCUCAAGUCAUAAAUAGGAAAAAUGACACUAGAGAGAGAUUCUUGAAUGCUAAUGGCAACCCAGGAACAUUGUCUCUCUCGGGCAGAAAUGUCCCCCAGCUUUGCCGUUGGAAAGACUUACCUUAUCUUACCUUAUGGAGCUCAAGACCAUCUCAACCCCACCUAUCACCCUUUUUGGAUACUAAGUGGACAUAUACAAACAAUGCAUUUGUACCAGGAAGAUGGCAACAACAUCAACAAAAAAAUAGACCAGAGUUAGAGGGAUGAUUUGAAUAGGCCUAGUUGUCUUGAUGUACUGUUGAGUUGAGAUCAUUGUUAAGCCGCAUUUUUAAUAGCUCAGUUAAUAUGUUAUAUUUUGUUAUUUGGCCUUGUGAAUUAAUUUAUUUGUGUAUUUAAUAAGACUAUUUAUUUAGUAUUUAUUUCAAUAUGUUUUUCAUGAUGUAUUUAUUCAGGCAUUCAGUGUUGUGAUGUCAUUUUAAAUUCCACUUGUUCAACUUUCACUAACAUUUAUGAUAGACAUCAUUGUGAACUAUUGUGAAGUUGAUUUUGUGAAUGGGAUUAAAUACUGUUGAU
This is an RNA transcript of Sardina pilchardus (European sardine), 1333 nucleotides long. It is a transcript of the gene named heparin-binding EGF-like growth factor b, with no coding region annotated. Lineage: Eukaryota; Metazoa; Chordata; Actinopteri; Clupeiformes; Clupeidae. The transcript is spliced from 6 exons. The record is from RefSeq and is a predicted model, not a curated record.